This is a long non-coding RNA of Sander lucioperca (pikeperch), 102 nucleotides long. RefSeq lists it as uncharacterized. Lineage: Eukaryota; Metazoa; Chordata; Actinopteri; Perciformes; Percidae. The transcript is spliced from 4 exons. The record is from RefSeq and is a predicted model, not a curated record.
UUUAUAUCAAAUGUUAAGCACUGAAGUUUGUAUUUGCUAUGGAGACAGAGCACAACAUCGUCAUACUCUGAAAGCCACGCCCACCGGAGGGGAAAACAAUCA